This is a long non-coding RNA of Papaver somniferum (opium poppy), 3772 nucleotides long. RefSeq lists it as uncharacterized. The transcript has 2 exons. The record is from RefSeq and is a predicted model, not a curated record. NCBI's taxonomy places the organism in Eukaryota, Viridiplantae, Streptophyta, Magnoliopsida, Ranunculales, Papaveraceae.
CUCCUAGAGCUGAUAGAACUGAGAAGCUGGUUAGCCCUUAACCACCACAGCGGGGUGCCAAUAUAAACUUCACUCAUUACCUAACCCUAGCUUUAAGGGAAAACGUUUCUCUCAAUCAUUAUUUGCACCUGAACCAGAAAUUGAGAAGAAAAGAGAAUAGCUGCGCAGCAGCCAUGAAAACCGAGAGAUUGGAGAAGAAUUUGUAGGUAAAGAAGGAAUUACAGAUGGUGAUCUGUUAGAUUGAGGUUUUAGUCGAGAAUUGAAGUGCUCUUGCUUUGAAUUUAAGAACCAGAAGAUGGGUUUUGACAAAAAUGGAGGAAAUGAAAUCUGAGAUUGAAUCUGAGUUAGGUUUGUGAUAAAUACUAAUGACUCAAAGAAAUGGAGUUGGAUUUGGGGUUCUGUGAAGCUCAAGGAAGAGAUGAAACCUCUGCUAUCGAUUUGAGAAAGUGGAGAUUUAGGAGAAGAUGAGUUAUUGGUGUCUAUUGAAGGUCAUGGUGCUGUCAAGGAUGAACUCAGGGAAGUUGGUCACUGCUCUUAUCAGAAAUCAAUGAUUGCGAGCCGGAAUUGAAGGCCAAUGGUGAUGAAUUCAAGAAGGUUUUUCUGUGUUUGAUGUUUGCUGCCGGUGCAAGGAAGAACUGAAGAUGCAGAGAAUGGAGUUUGUUGUUGGCUGUUAAUUGAAGAUGAAUGGGAAGGUUUAGAAGAGAGAAUUGAAGCCAAGAAAGGCACACCGUUAUGGGUUUGAGCUAUAAUUGAGAUGCAAAUGGAAUUUGGUUGAAUUGAGAAUGAUGGUAGAAGCUGGGUGAUUUUCAUGGGUCAGGUGGAGUUGAUGUUGCUCAAGUGCUGAAUUAGAUGAAUGUCUAGGACAAGUACAAAUUACAGGUGGUAGUGGCUCUGAUUGGAGAAGUUGGUAGUGGAUCAAGACAAGGAGAUGAGAAGGAGUUAAGGACAUGAAACAUAUUUUGGUGGAGGUGUCAAGCUACUGUAAUGGACUGGUUAUGAUGAGAAGCUACUGAUGGUUGUGGCAUGAUAAAUGGAAGGAUUGUGCAGUUGCAGUGGUUGAAUGCUCAGGUUGCAGGUUUAUGUUACAAAGAGAGAGUAAAAGGCUGAGCUGUAGAAAUGGAAUUGCAGCUGUUGAAUUGGUGCAGCUGAGACGGUUUGAAGUUUAGCUAAAAAGUUGUUGAGGUGUUCUUGCUGCUGAGAUUUGAAGCAGGUAGUGAUGCUCAAUGUAUUGCAGCUGCAUUUGAACCUGAGAUGAAGUUGGAGGUUCUGGUGGCUGCCGUCGAAUGAGAUGUUGGUUAUAGGGGUUUAGUUUUGCUGUUUCUAUUGCCGCAAAGAGAGAUGACUUGAGCUGCAGUCAGUGGUGUUGUGUUACAAUGGGUCUGUGGCAAUGAGUCUGGUGGUGUUAGUUUUGUGAAUCAAGUGCAAGUGCUGAGGAAUUGGUGGAAUCUGUGAAGCAAUAGAAGAUGGCAGAGCUGAUACUUAGGCCCAUAGAAUGUGUUGUUGUUGUUGGUGACUGGAAGCUGGUGCUGUCGUUAAUGGUUUGAAUGAAGUUUUGUGUUGGUAUUAAGUGCAGUGGACACUGAACUGAUUGGUGGUUACAGGGAAUGUGGAGCUGAGUUACAGUGGGUUGAAGCAGGCUAAGAUAUUGCAGGUGGUUAGGUGAUGCUGCUGCUAUGACAGAUGAGAAUUGAUGCAGAUAAGAAGGGAGCUGGGUUGAGUUUCAGGAAUCAGUUGAGAAUGAGGUUGGUACUGUUGAAUCUGCCAGAAGCUGAGAAGAGAUGGCGGAUAUGGAGUUGCAGGCAGUGGUGUUUGAUUGAUGUGGAGAAUGGAUCGAGGAGAAGAUUGCAGGUUAAGCUGCAAUGAGUGUUGCUUUGACAGAAUUGUAGUCACAUUUGGAUGGUCUAUUGGGAUGUGUUCGAAUGGGGAUGUAGCGCCAACAUGGCUGGAGAAUUGAGUUAGCCGUGAUCCUGGUAAAGCAAGAACAUGGCGAGUUGGCUUGUCAAUUCCGCAUAACUGACAGGCAUAUCAAGUGAUGGACCUGUUGGGCUCUUAAUUAUGGGCUCAAGGAAGUGGGUGGUAUUGGGCCAGGAAACAACAAUCGGAUGAGGUGACUCAGUAAUUGAGAGCGAAAACUACAAGGAGACCCAUUCUUCGGAUCUUUCCCACUGUGAAACCCACGGUCGGAAAUCUUCAGGCGCGCCCCCAUAUUUGGGUGAAAAUUAUUCGCAAAACCAUAUUUUCCAAAAUUAUGAGUUUCAAGAGAUAAAGGCGAAAACAAAAGAAAAGAUCUGAUUUUCUUCGUAAUAAAGUCUCUUCCUUUCUUCUUCUUCCUCUUCAUCUUGCUCCUUUAUCAUAACCUAAUAGUUAUUUUUUCCAGCAGCUGUUUCCAACUAGGGUUCCAACUUCUCUCGUGAAUUUAUUCUUUCUCUGGCUGCGGAAAUUUCAAUAGUGAGGAGAUGUUCGUGGCUGCGGAAAUUUCUUUCUCUGGCCUCUUUGAAUUCACUUCUUCUACAAGCAUCAACAAUAUCAACAGAUUUGGGGAUUUUUUUGGAUGUGGAUUGAAUGGGGUUUGGCCGAAUGAAUGGUCUCGAUUAAAUGGGUUGUCAAUUGUGCUUCUAAUCUUCAUGAUGAUGUCUGAAUUAUUGAUUACGAAUGGGUAUACGGCAAGUUCUAUUACUACCACAACAAUAAUGAGUUAAGUGGAGUUCUGAGUUGAGAAGUUGAUUCACCGAAUCAAUAAGGUGAAGAGAGUUUGGAGACCAGGGAAGCAAAAGUGAAGAUUGGUUGUAUACUUGUAUCAGUGAUGGUGAAGGAAGGUGAUUAGAAGGACAUAAAAUGGAAAUCGGUGGUGUGGCCUGUGUUUGAAAAUAAUGGAAUUAUCUGCGAUUGGUGGUUCUUUUGUUGGCUAGCUUUAUACGGGACUGUUUUCAUCCAUCCAGUUAGGACGUGAUGCUCAGCUGGGAUACCGAACAAGAAAGAAGUGAAGCUGUGUUGGAUUUGGUCAGCGAAGAAGUUGGAUUUCUGUCGUAGGUGACUGAGAAGUAAGAUGACCGACAUAAAUUUGUGGUUGCCUGGGAAGGAGCUGAAGUCAAAUGGUGAGAAGAUGAAGCUGUGAUGAUAGAGUUUCUCAUAUUGCAGUAGCUCGAGCGGAGGAAGUAAUGGUGGAUGUUGUUAACUAUCUCGGUGAUGGGGGAAGCUUCGGAGCUGUAAAACAGCUAAAAGAAUAUUUUAGCAUCAUCUCCACUUUAUACUCGGUUUCGGCAGCAUCUUUGGGGUAGAGUCAGUAUUGUGAACUCUCUCAAUUAUCGAUUGAUAAAUGGAGCAGCAACAAGGAGACUUAGGCCCGUAUGUCAGCUGGAGUUGGGAAGAUUCGACUGACGCCUUUGUUAGAUAGAGGAAGCUACUGUAAUGGGUUGCGGCUGGUGGCGUUAUUUCUUGGGUUUUCGAUGGAGGCUGGUGGCAUCUUCUACUUCAUGGUCGUCAGGCUUGGCUGGUGAUGAUGUUGGAAGGAGAAGGACUCGUGCUCGAUACUGGAAAGAGCAUGGAAGUAUCGAUGAGGGUGCAAUUGGGAAUACAAGACCAUUACAGGCGAUAUUAUCAUCCAUGGUUUCAAACCACAUCACCGAUAUCAACAGCCAAUAUGUAGAGCGUGCUUUGUGCAAGUUUCAUUUCGGGUUUUGUUGAUGUUUACCUAGAUUUUGUCGUUAUUCACUUUCUCUUCGUAGUGGAUGCAUAACCAGUUAUGUAGUUAUGGAAAUGAAUGCAUAAUAGG